This 254-nucleotide ribosomal RNA is filed under the name uncultured bacterium. RNAcentral describes it as "partial 16S ribosomal RNA". It matches the Rfam family "Bacterial small subunit ribosomal RNA", at positions 524 to 776 of the family's 1533-position model. The record is from RNAcentral.
GACAGAGGGUGCAAACGUUGCUCGGAAUUACUGGGCGUAAAGCGCGUGUAGGCGGACCUGCAAGUCGGACGUGAAAGCCCUGGGCUCAACCCAGGAACUGCAUCCGAAACUGCGGGCCUGGAGUGGUGGAGAGGGAAGCAGAAUUCCUGGUGUAGAGGUGAAAUUCGUAGAUAUCAGGAGGAACACCGGUGGCGAAGGCGGCUUCCUGGACACUUACUGACGCUGAGACGCGAAAGCGGUGGGGAGCAAACAGG